RNAcentral lists this long non-coding RNA (255 nucleotides) under Physcomitrium patens. RNAcentral describes it as "long non-coding RNA (PPAT_LNC006386)". Lineage: Eukaryota; Viridiplantae; Streptophyta; Bryopsida; Funariales; Funariaceae. The record is from RNAcentral.
CCCAUCAGGCAUAUUAGGUGUCUCCACUGGUAUAUACCUACUAGGCUUGUUCCAUGUAGGGUUAAAAAAUGAUCCUGGCGUCCUGUUGGUAUGGAGGAUAAUAGUUCGAUGAUGUCGGUGGAGCAUACGCUGUUAUCAUGUUCGAUGGUAUAGCUUGCGAUAGGGUGACAUUAAUUGGCCUUUGAAUAUUGGCAGUGAAAUUGGCCAUUGUGUCUAACAUCCAAGAUGACUAAAUAUUAAUAAAUCUUUUUAAUU